Molecule: long non-coding RNA, 331 nt
Organism: Telopea speciosissima
Lineage: Eukaryota; Viridiplantae; Streptophyta; Magnoliopsida; Proteales; Proteaceae
Exons: 3
Source: RefSeq, a predicted model, not a curated record
GUUUUUGCAAUUUCUCAUUGAUUCCAUCGUAACUGUGGUAACAAACUCUAUGGUUUUCUAAGUGAAAGGAUCCAUAAUUGUGUUCUUCGUGAAGCCCCUUUUCAGCAUUCUCCUGGUCACUCUAUCCCUACUGCUGAUCGUUUUGUCUCCUUCAAUCCUAUUUCCUGAAAGAUCACUUACACGGAAUCCACUACUUGGAAAACAGGAUAGUGUUCAAAGGGCACUAGAGUGGAGACCCUGCAAAUGUUUGAUGGAAGGAGGCUCUAUUGCUUGUCCUGCGGAAAGUAAUGGAUAUAUCAGAGUGGAUUGUUUUGGGGGGCUUAAUCAAAUG